CAGUGCGACGGGGGGACCCCAAGUGCCACUCUUAACGGGGUGGCUUUUCAGGAGUGUAAAAAGCUCCUGGAAUAAGGGCUGGGCAAGACCGGUGCCAGCCGCCGCGGUAACACCGGCAGCUCGAGUGGUAGCCGCGUUUAUUGGGCCUAAAGCGUCCGUAGCCGGUCCGAUAAGUCUCUGGUGAAAGCCCACAGCUCAACUGUGGGAAUCGCUGGAGAUACUAUCGGACUUGAGGCCGGGAGAGGCUGGAGGUACUCCCAGGGUAGGGGUGAAAUCCUAUAAUCCUGGGAGGACCACCUGUGGCGAAGGCGUCCAGCUGGAACGGACCUGACGGUGAGGGACGAAAGCCAGGGGCGCGAACCGGAUUAGAUACCCGGGUAGUCCUGGCCGUAAACGAUGCGGACUUGGUGUUGGGACGGCUUUGAGCUGUCCCAGUGCCGAAGGGAAGCUGUUAAGUCCGCCGCCUGGGAAGUACGGCCGCAAGGCUGAA
Molecule: ribosomal RNA, 490 nt
Filed under: uncultured Methanobacterium sp.
Lineage: Archaea; Methanobacteriati; Methanobacteriota; Methanobacteria; Methanobacteriales; Methanobacteriaceae
Description: bacterial SSU rRNA
Rfam family: Archaeal small subunit ribosomal RNA
Source: RNAcentral